CCUACGGGAGGCAGCAGUGGGGGAUAUUGGACAAUGGGGGAAACCCUGAUCCAGCGACGCCGCGUGAGUGAAGAAGUAUUUCGGUAUGUAAAGCUCUAUCAGCAGGGAAGAAAGAAAUGACGGUACCUGAGUAAGAAGCCCCGGCUAACUACGUGCCAGCAGCCGCGGUAAUACGUAGGGGGCAAGCGUUAUCCGGAAUUACUGGGUGUAAAGGGAGCGUAGACGGCAGCGCAAGUCUGGAGUGAAAUGCCGGGGCCCAACCCCGGAACUGCUCUGGAAAAUGUGAAGCUGGAGUGCAGGAGAGGUAAGCGGAAUUCCUGGUGUAGCGGUGAAAUGCGUAGAUAUCAGGAGGAACACCGGCGGCGAAGGCGGCUUACUGGACUGUAACUGACGUUGAGGCUCGAAGGCGUGGGGAGCAAACAGGAUUAGAUACCCCAGUAGUC
RNAcentral lists this ribosomal RNA (443 nucleotides) under uncultured bacterium. RNAcentral's name for it is "partial 16S ribosomal RNA". It matches the Rfam family "Bacterial small subunit ribosomal RNA", at positions 338 to 795 of the family's 1533-position model. The record is from RNAcentral.